UACGUAGGUGGCAAGCGUUGUCCGGAUUUACUGGGCGUAAAGGGCGUGCAGGCGGUUUGUUAAGUGCAGGGUGAAAGCUCCCGGCUCAACUGGGAGAGGUCCUUGCAUACUGGCAGACUUGAGGGAGGCAGAGGAAAGUGGAAUUCCCGGUGUAGUGGUGAUAUGCGUAGAUAUCGGGAGGAACACCUGUGGCGAAGGCGGCUUUCUGGGCCUUGCCUGACGCUGAGACGCGAAAGCGUGGGGAGCGAACCGG
Molecule: ribosomal RNA, 253 nt
Filed under: uncultured bacterium
Lineage: Bacteria
Description: partial 16S ribosomal RNA
Rfam family: Bacterial small subunit ribosomal RNA
Source: RNAcentral